AAAAACUUAGUUAACUCAUAACAUAAGCCUGUCAAACUUAAAUUAUUAUUUUUAUAAUAGUUUUUA
Molecule: transfer RNA, 66 nt
Filed under: Chlamisus sp. N29
Lineage: Eukaryota; Metazoa; Arthropoda; Insecta; Coleoptera; Chrysomelidae
Description: tRNA-Asp
Source: RNAcentral